RNAcentral lists this transfer RNA (75 nucleotides) under Caudoviricetes sp. RNAcentral's name for it is "tRNA-Thr". It matches the Rfam family "tRNA". From Rfam's summary of the family: Transfer RNA (tRNA) molecules are approximately 80 nucleotides in length. Their secondary structure includes four short double-helical elements and three loops (D, anti-codon, and T loops). The record is from RNAcentral. Lineage: Duplodnaviria; Heunggongvirae; Uroviricota; Caudoviricetes.
GCCGCAGUAGCGCAACGGAAGCGCGGCUGUUUUGUAAGCAGCGUGUUCACGGUUCGAAUCCGUGCUGCGGCUCCA